RNAcentral lists this ribosomal RNA (506 nucleotides) under uncultured bacterium. Its description in RNAcentral is "partial 16S ribosomal RNA". It matches the Rfam family "Bacterial small subunit ribosomal RNA", at positions 30 to 523 of the family's 1533-position model. The record is from RNAcentral.
AUUGAACGCUGGCGGCAGGCCUAACACAUGCAAGUCGAGCGGCAGCGGAAGGAAGCUUGCUUUCUUGCCGGCGAGCGGCGGACGGGUGAGUAAGGUAUGGGGAUCUGGCCGAAGGCGGGGGAUAACCACUGGAAACGGUGGCUAAUACCGCAUAAUCUCUAAGGAGCAAAGUGGGGACCGUUCAGGCCUCACACCUUCGGAUGAACCCAUAUGAGAUCAGCUAGUAGGUGGGGUAAUGGCUCACCUAGGCGACGAUCUCUAGCUGGUCUGAGAGGAUGAUCAGCCACACUGGGACUGAGACACGGCCCAGACUCCUACGGGAGGCAGCAGUGGGGAAUAUUGCACAAUGGGCGCAAGCCUGAUGCAGCCAUGCCGCGUGUAUGAAGAAGGCCUUCGGGUUGUAAAGUACUUUCAGUCGUGAGGAAGGUGUUAAGGUUAAUAACCUUAGCAAUUGACGUUAGCGACAGAAGAAGCACCGGCUAACUCCGUGCCAGCCGCCGCGGUAA